This 1473-nucleotide ribosomal RNA is filed under the name uncultured Bordetella sp. RNAcentral describes it as "partial 16S-23S ribosomal RNA intergenic spacer". It matches the Rfam family "Bacterial small subunit ribosomal RNA". Lineage: Bacteria; Pseudomonadati; Pseudomonadota; Betaproteobacteria; Burkholderiales; Alcaligenaceae. The record is from RNAcentral.
GGUUUGAUUAUAGCUCAGAUUGAACGCUGGCCGCGGGAUGCUUUACAUGCUGUGAGUCGAACGGCAGCACGGACUUCGGUCUGGUGGCGAGUGGCGAACGGGUGAGUAAUGUAUCGGAACGUGCCUAUUGGCGAGGGGAUAUGCUACGCCUGGCGUGGCAGCCUGCAUACCUUCGGGGAAAGCGGGGACCUUCCCGGGCUCGCACUAUUAGAGCGGCCGAUAUCGGAUUAGCCUGGUUGGUGGGGUAACGGCUCACUAAGGCGACGAUCCGUAGCUGGUUUGAGAGGACGACCAGCCACACUGGGACUGAGACACGGCCCAGACUCCUGCAGGAGGCAGCAGUGGGGUACGGGCAAUGGAAACCUGAGUCAAUAUCGCAUUACGAUGAAGGCCUUCGGGUUGUAAAGCACUUUUGCAGGAAAGAAACGGCACGGGAUAAUACCCCAGUGCGGCCUUUGAUGACAUUACCCUGCAAGUCAGCACCGGCUAACUGCGUGCCAGCAGCACUACGGUAAUACGUAGGGUGCAAAGCGUUAAUCGGAGUGCCUGAGCGUAAAGCGUCGCGAGCGGUUCCGGAAAAGAAAGACGUGAAAUCCAGAGCUUAACUUUGGAACUGCAUUUUUAACUUCAGCUAGAGUGUCAGAGAGGUAAAUUCCGCGUGUAUGAAGUGAAAAUGCACUGUGAUAUGCGGAGGGACCUGUGGCGAAGGCAGCCUCCUGGGAUAACGCUGACGCUCAUGCACGAAAGCGUGGGAGCAAACGGAAUUAGAUACCCUGGUAGUCCACGCCCUAAACGAUGUCAACUAUUUCUUGGGGCCUUCGGGGCAGCGGUAGCGCAGCUAACGCGUGAAGUUGACCGCCAGGAGGAUACGGUCGCAAGAUUAAAACUCAAAGGUCUGACGGGGACCCACCUGGACGGUGGAUGAUGUGAUUAAUUCGGUAGCGCGAAAAACCUUACCUACCCAUGACAUGUCUGGAAUAUCGAAGAGAUUUGGGAGGUGCUCCCUGCAAGAGAACCGGAACACAGGUGCUGCAUGGCUGUCGUCAGCUCGUGUCGUGAGAUGUUGGGUUAAGUCCGCAACGAGCGCAACCCUUGUCGUGGAUUGCUACGAAGGGCACUCUAAUGAGACUGCCGGUGACAAACCGGAGGAAGGUGGGGAUGACGUCAGGUCUCUGGCCCACAUGGGUAGGGCUUCACGUCAUACAAUGGUCGGGACAGAGGGUCGCCAACCCGCGAGGGGAGCCAAUCCCAGAAACCCGAUCAUGUAGUCUGAAGGUCGUCUGCAACUCGACUGCGUGAAGUCGAAUCGCUGGUAAUCGCGGAUCAGCAUGUCGCGGUGAAUACGUUCAAGGUCUUGUACACACCGCCCGUCACACCAUGGGGUGGGUUUUACCGAAGUAGUUAGCCUAACCGUAAGGAGGGCACGAUCACCACGGUAGGAUUCAUGACUGGGACGAAGUCGUAACAAGGUAG